This 516-nucleotide ribosomal RNA is filed under the name Streptomyces sp. WAC07149. RNAcentral describes it as "bacterial SSU rRNA". It matches the Rfam family "Bacterial small subunit ribosomal RNA", at positions 1024 to 1533 of the family's 1533-position model. The record is from RNAcentral. Lineage: Bacteria; Bacillati; Actinomycetota; Actinomycetes; Kitasatosporales; Streptomycetaceae.
GGAGAAAGUGAUAGGUGGUUGAUGGCUGCCAUCAGCCCGUGUUGUGAGAUGUUGGGUUAAGUCCCGCAGGGAGUGCAAACCUUAAGCUUAGUUGCGAUCAUUAAGUUGGUCUCUCUAAGUCGGCUGCCGGUGACAAAGGGGUGGACGGUGGGGAUGACGUCAAAUCCUCAUGCCCGUUAUGAUUUGGGCUACACACGUGCUACAAUGGACAAUACAAAGGGCAGCGAAACCGCGAGGUCAAGCAAAUCCCAUAAAGUUGUUCUCAGUUCGGAUUGUAGUCUGCAACUCGACUACAUGAAGCUGGAAUCGCUAGUAAUCGUAGAUCAGCAUGCUACGGUGAAUACGUUCCCGGGUCUUGUACACACCGCCCGUCACACCACGAGAGUUUGUAACACCCGAAGCCGGUGGAGUAACCUUUUAGGAGCUAGCCGUCGAAGGUGGGACAAAUGAUUGGGGUGAAGUCGUAACAAGGUAGCCGUAUCGGAAGGUGCGGCUGGAUCACCUCCUUUCUAAGGA